AGCUCCAAUAGCGUAUAUUAAAGUUGUUGCGGUUAAAAAGCUCGUAGUUGGAUUUCUGCCGAGGACGACCGGUCCGCCCGCUGGGUGAGUAUCUGGCUCGACCUGGGCAUCUUCUUGGAGAACGUAGCUGCACUUGACUGUGUGGGGCGGUAUCCAGGACUUUUACUUUGAGGAAAUUAGAGUGUUUCAAGCAGGCCCACGCCUUGAAUACAUUAGCAUGGAAUAAUAAGAUAGGACUUGGGUCUAUUUUGUUGGUUUGCAGACCGAAGUAAUGAUUAAUAGGGAUAGUUGGGGGUAUUUAUAUUCCGAUGUCAGAGGUGAAAUUCUUAG
Molecule: ribosomal RNA, 330 nt
Filed under: uncultured eukaryote
Lineage: Eukaryota
Description: SSU rRNA
Rfam family: Eukaryotic small subunit ribosomal RNA
Source: RNAcentral